RNAcentral lists this unclassified non-coding RNA (370 nucleotides) under Hevea brasiliensis (rubber tree). The record is from RNAcentral. Lineage: Eukaryota; Viridiplantae; Streptophyta; Magnoliopsida; Malpighiales; Euphorbiaceae.
CAUUUUAAAUAUUUUCUGAUUUUUGGCUCUCUUUGAAAAUAAGGAAAUAGUAUUAUAAUUAACUCCUUGAUUUAUUUUAUUUCCAUUAUUGUGCUCCCCCUUAUUUGCUAUAUAAAUAGGACUCCCUCCCCUCCUUUCAGACACACAUUGACAUCUUUGAAAAGAACUCACAUUCUCUAAACUCAUUCUUACUUUCUUACUACAAAUGCUACAUUAUUCUUAAACUUUCUUAUUCUCUCAUUGCUCAUACAUACAUGAACUCAUCAACAUACACUCAUUCACUCUCAAUCACAAAAACUCUCUCAUCAUUCUCCCUUCUCUCAUUCGCUCUCUUGCUACCUUAACAAUACAUCGAGAAUUCGGUUUCAUA